GUGGGGAAUUUUGGACAAUGGGCGCAAGCCUGAUCCAGCAAUGCCGCGUGCAGGAUGAAGGCCUUCGGGUUGUAAACUGCUUUUGUACGGAACGAAAAGCCCUGGGUUAAUACCCUGGGGUCAUGACGGUACCGUAAGAAUAAGCACCGGCUAACUACGUGCCAGCAGCCGCGGUAAUACGUAGGGUGCGAGCGUUAAUCGGAAUUACUGGGCGUAAAGCGUGCGCAGGCGGUUUUGUAAGACAGAGGUGAAGUCCCCGGGCUCAACGUGGGAAAUGCCUGUGUGACUGCAAGGCUAGAGUACGGCAGAGGGGGAUGGAAUUCCGCGUGUAGCAGUGAAAUGCGUAGAUAUGCGGAGGAACACCGAUGGCGAAGGCAAUCCCCUGGGCCUGUACUGACGCUCAUGCACGAAAGCGUGGGGAGCAAACAGGAUUAGAAACCCUAGUAGUCC
This 450-nucleotide ribosomal RNA is filed under the name uncultured bacterium. RNAcentral's name for it is "partial 16S ribosomal RNA". It matches the Rfam family "Bacterial small subunit ribosomal RNA", at positions 354 to 796 of the family's 1533-position model. The record is from RNAcentral.